AUGACCACGACGUACAGUCUCAGGCCAACAUUCGCACACUAUUGGUGCAUGGCGAAUCUGUAUGUGAGUGUUGGCCUUUUGGAAGAAGUAGAGGGCCUCUUGAAGAGCGUGCCAGAGGAGCUGAAGGCACGUGCAUUGGGUGGUUUGCUCGGGCUGUGCCGGUUCAGAGGGGAAUGGAAACUUGGGGAACGUAUAGCCCUCAGGUUGAUCGAGCUGGAACCAAGCAACUGUGCUCACUAUGCUCUGUUGUGUAGUGUAUAUGCUUCGGCGGGAAGAUGGGAAGAUACUCACAGGGUGAAGGCUAUCAUAAAGGAAAGCGAUGAGAGGUUCAGUCCUGGACACCGUCUUGUGGAUCUAAAUGAGAUUGCUAACGAAUUCAAAAUUAGGGAGAGGCAACCUGAGAACCAGGAAAUAUAUGUUAUCCUGGAUGACUUGGUGUCAAAGCUGCAGUUUACAAGCAGAGAAGAUGAGCAAACUGAACCAGGGAUAAAAUAG
Molecule: ribosomal RNA, 495 nt
Filed under: Triticum aestivum (bread wheat)
Lineage: Eukaryota; Viridiplantae; Streptophyta; Magnoliopsida; Poales; Poaceae
Description: partial small subunit ribosomal RNA
Source: RNAcentral